RNAcentral lists this ribosomal RNA (444 nucleotides) under uncultured bacterium. RNAcentral's name for it is "SSU rRNA". It matches the Rfam family "Bacterial small subunit ribosomal RNA", at positions 26 to 518 of the family's 1533-position model. The record is from RNAcentral.
AGAGCGAACGCUGGCGGCAGGCCUAAUACAUGCAAGUCGAGCGCACCUUCGGGUGAGCGGCGGACGGGUGAGUAACGCGUGGGAACGUACCUUUUGGUUCGGAACAACCCAGGGAAACUUGGGCUAAUACCGGAUAAGCCCUUACGGGGAAAGAUUUAUCGCCGAAAGAUCGGCCCGCGUCUGAUUAGCUAGUUGGUGAGGUAAUGGCUCACCAAGGCGACGAUCAGUAGCUGGUCUGAGAGGAUGAUCAGCCACAUUGGGACUGAGACACGGCCCAAACUCCUACGGGAGGCAGCAGUGGGGAAUAUUGGACAAUGGGCGCAAGCCUGAUCCAGCCAUGCCGCGUGAGUGAUGAAGGCCCUAGGGUUGUAAAGCUCUUUUGUGCGGGAAGAUAAUGACGGUACCGCAAGAAUAAGCCCCGGCUAACUUCGUGCCAGCAGCCGC